GCCACUGCUAUUGGGGUUCGGCUAAGCCAUGCGAGUGGAGGGCGUCCCGCAAGGGAUGGCCCCGCAGACGGCUCAGUAACACGUCGUCAACCCACCUUAGGGUGGGGGACAACCUCGGGAAACUGAGGAUAAUCCCCCAUAGGCGGGGGAGGCUAGAAUGCGCCCCCGCUGAAAGCUCAGGCGCCCUAGGACGGGACGGCGGCCUAUCAGGUAGUUGGUGUGU
Molecule: ribosomal RNA, 223 nt
Filed under: uncultured archaeon
Lineage: Archaea
Description: partial 16S ribosomal RNA
Rfam family: Archaeal small subunit ribosomal RNA
Source: RNAcentral